RNAcentral lists this transfer RNA (88 nucleotides) under bacterium HR26. RNAcentral's name for it is "tRNA-Ser". It matches the Rfam family "tRNA". Rfam says of the family: Transfer RNA (tRNA) molecules are approximately 80 nucleotides in length. Their secondary structure includes four short double-helical elements and three loops (D, anti-codon, and T loops). The record is from RNAcentral.
GGAGGGGUGUCCGAGUGGUUUAAGGUGCCGCUCUCGAAAAGCGGUAGGGCGAUGAGCCCUCGUGGGUUCGAAUCCCACCCCCUCCGCC